Long non-coding RNA from Arachis duranensis, 900 nucleotides. RefSeq lists it as uncharacterized. NCBI's taxonomy places the organism in Eukaryota, Viridiplantae, Streptophyta, Magnoliopsida, Fabales, Fabaceae. The record is from RefSeq and is a predicted model, not a curated record. The transcript is spliced from 3 exons.
CCCCUUUAAUUUGGUAUUUGAUCACAGAAUAUAGUCAGAUGAGUUACUUUCACAACCCUAGAUGAGUUACUUUCACAACCCUGGAACAGCUGUAGAAUAUCUAUGAUAUGGUUCCUGUAUACUUUUUUCUCAAACGCUCAAAUAACCUAAUAUUUGCAAAAGCCCCAUAUACAAACCAUUUGAUUCAUGUGUCAGAAUUAAUACACGAUUGACAUUUUUUUGUGGGAUUUUAUGUUUUUACUUAUUUGUUUAAUGUGUUAAAAGAUCCUUGUAAAAAUCAGUGACCUCUGUGGACUUGAUCAAACUAUGGAGCAUACUGUGCUUCUAGUUUUUUUUAUACUGAUAACAUUGUCGUGAUUUGAGUACUCAUAUUAUAGGGUUUUGUUUUUUGUUCUUUUUUUCCCUUUCUUUUUCCUAUCAAUAUAAAUGAUCGUUAACUAUGGUUUUGGCAUAAGUGCAGAAACUUCAGAAGCAGUACAACUGUAUUCCAGAUGAACACUAUGAUCAGACACUGCUUGCAAUGCAUGGUCUUGAAGGUCAACUUGAACGUAGAACGUUGACCAAUAGCCUGUGGAUCCAGUCUACAACAAAGAUGGAGAAUAAAGGCUGGCAUCCUAUUACUUUCAGCUAUGUAAAUGCUAGCCCUCAAAGGAUAAAAGGAAAUGAAGAAUAGCAUACACCACACAAGGAUUUUGAAGGCCCUAGUAACAACAUAUUCCUAGGUAGCUGUGGCUGAAUCAGUUAAUUUGGAUGUAACAAUCUAAUAGGACCAUAUUUUAUUUGUGUUUAGCUAAUUACGUAUCUAUCACGUGUAGUACAGUUAUCAGUUACAUAAAGUGAUAAUUACAGUAUAAAGAGAAGCAUUUUUCUUUUUAUAUUUUCGGUAUUGGAGAAGCGUUA